Molecule: long non-coding RNA, 4130 nt
Organism: Homo sapiens (human)
Lineage: Eukaryota; Metazoa; Chordata; Mammalia; Primates; Hominidae
Gene: IQCH-AS1
Product: IQCH antisense RNA 1
Source: Ensembl
ACUUUUUUUCCUUUUUCCAUCACCUGAAGCUUUUAUUUGGUAAAAGCCAGAUCACCAUGCUCCUCAAGAAACAAGAGGCUACAAUCUAAAAAACUAUUGAUAUUGGUAGGAAAUGUUCAACUAAAUUCUAUGAUAAUUAAUGAACCUUAUAUCUAUUCAAUUUCCUGUGAAAUAUAAAGAACAAUGUGUGUUUUUUUUUAACUUUUAAGUUCGGGGUACGUGUGCAGGUUUGCUACACAGGUAAACUUGUGCCAUGGGGGUUUGUUGUACACAUUAUUUCAUCACCCAGGUAUUAAGCCUAGUACCCAGGAGUUAUUUUUCCUGAUUCUCUCCCUCCUCCCACCCUCCACCCUUUGAUAGGCCUCAGUGCGUGGUGUUCCCCUCUAUGUGUCCCUGUAUUCUCAUCAUUUAGCUCCCACUUAUAAGUGGGAACAUGCAGUAUUUGGUUUUCUGUUCCUGUGUUAGUUUACUAAGGAUAAUGACCUCCAGCUACAUCCAUGUCCCUGCAAAUGCAGGACAUGAUCUUGUUCUGAAAGAAUUUUUUAAUUUGGGAAUUUUCAUAUAGAGCAUCUUUGCCAAUCUAUUUGUUUAGAGACUUUUAUAUGAGGAACAGGAAUGGGAGAAUUGCUAUAUAAAUGUAUAUUUACUUGAGGUGAAUCCAACAUGAUAUUUGUAAGACUUAGAUCAUCAUUUUUAUCCAUAUGUGUUCUGUGCUUUUUCCCACCACUCUUUCCCACCAAGUGAGCCUGUUUCUCACUUGGAAUACACUCUUUCUUACCCUCCUCAUAUCCUAAUUUUCUUUCGGCUCAAAUCCCACCUUCUCUGCAAAACCUUUCUUGAUUGCUCCCAACAGAAGGGAUCUUUCUCUUGUCUGAAUGCAUGUAGAAAAAUCAUUUGGCCGUUAAACUGAUAUUACCUUUUUGAUGUCUCUUUUAUUGUUCUACGUAGUUGUCACUUAAGCCUUUCCUUGCUACUCAUUUUUCAAGCCUAUCUUCCCAACUAGAAUGUGAACUCCCUAAGGGCAGGCACUUCCAUGUCUUUUGCAUCUUUGUAGCUUCUCUAGCACCUAGCAUUAUGGCUUAUACAUAAUAGAUGCUCAAUAAACACUUGUUUUUUUUAGAGUUUCCCCAAAGUGAGUAAUUAACUACAAAAGAUCUGGAUCAUCUAGAAGUUCCAAAAGUCCAUAAAUCAACAAAUAAUAAUCAGGUGGCUGGCCAAAUAUGACCAUCAUUGUGUUAGACAUUAUGAAGAGGUAAAAAAAAUUCAAGGCCUAGUACAUUUUCUAAAGGAUUAAAAAAAUCUCAUGGAGGCAAUAUUUAUACCUAUGAAUCAAUACAAGUAUAAAACAAUUGUGUGCAUGUAUAGCAAAUAAAAUGGGACGAUGGAUAUGAAAUAAGCUUUGUCAUGAUACAGAAGAUGUCUUGUUUAUUUCCACAGCACCUAACAGGAAGCCAGAGUAGGUCCUCUGAAGGUGUUUGUUCAAUGAACUUGUCAUCCUCCUCAACUUAAAGCCUUUAGCUUUUCCAAUUUGGAGGCACAAAUAAGUGAGAACUUGGGGAUCCACUGAGGUCUGAGGCACGGUGGUACCAGAGGAGAUGAAGGGGCUUUCAGCAUGAAGCUGGUCCCCUGUCGACAGCACGCUGAUUUUCCCGUUGGGCUCUAUCAGCAUGUCCACUGUGAGGUUGGUGACAUUGUCUGCAGGUGGGAAUGCUUCGAUCACACCCCCUGGUGGGAAAAACAUGGAGUAGGUGAAAGGACACAUGCAUUUUGUUUGACUUGGGCUCAGAUUCUGCAUCUGCCAUGUCUUGAAAGACUUUGGGCAAGUAGCUUACAUUCUCUGAACUUAUUUUUCUUUAUCCGUAAUAUGGGCAUAAUAAAGCCUACCUCAUUAGAUUGUUGUGCAUCUUGGAGAUACUGUAUCUAUCUAUAGUAUUCAGCCCAGCGCUUGGUAUAUUGUAGGGCUCAAUGAAUGGUAAUUUUGAUUCUGAUUAUAAUUUGAAGACACUGUGAGGAUCACUGGGUCUAUGCCCACUUAUUAAACAGGGAACCCAAGAAUUAUGGUCAAAUCCCUCAUGGGGAAUUAACGGCCCAUAGUCCACAGUUGACAUCUUGAUUACCAGUGUGCUCUUUUUGGUAAACUUCACUGCUUUUUGAAGGUUUGACAGGUUUGGGCUUUUUGUGGGCAGAGAGAACAUUGACCAUCAUGUCAGCCAAAGGACUUCUAUAUAAAGCCAGUUAUAAAACAUUUUUAAAAAUAUAGAACCAAGAGAUAUUGCCGUGUUUGAAGAACACAUAUGCUCUCUCUGCUGAUAAUGAGAGCUUUAUAAUUUAUUACAUUUUACCCUUUGCUUUGAAUGCCAAAAAUCAUAGAGGCAAGUCUGGUGUUCAAGCACAGCAAUAACAUCUUUCUGGCUAAUUUGUGGGCUAUCUCAGUGGUGUCCACAAAAAUUACAUAGCCCCAAUCUUCUGUUUUUAGGCCCAACUUACAAAUCUUACUGUAUAUGUCCUCUUUGUAGAGAAAAACUUUAAGAUAUUAUUUGUAAAGAGUUAAAUAAUUUAAAAGUAAAAACAACAAAGUGUUCCAUAGAUAGGGUGCCGUCUAGAACCUGACAGCACUAAGAGAAACUUGGCCUGUAUUUCACAAAUUUGCUGGGGGCUGGGAGAAGUGUGACCUCUGCCUACAGGUGUAAGCCACAGACUUUGAAUAGCAUACAAAGAAAAAAAUGAGCAGUUUUCAAAUGCAGUCAUCUGUUACUUCAUCUAAAAAGCACUUUCCUUAAAUGUCUAUAAAUUUGGUCAGAGGUAGUCCUAACAAACACCAAGUUUCAAAAGGAAAACCGAUUUUGGAGUGUACAUAUUCAAAUCCUAAUUUUUCUAUUUGGUUUGUUUGAGACAUGCUUUUCUUCAAAUGAGGCCUACUCGUGUGUGCUACACCUAAAUACCAGUUGCUGGGGAUUUAGCAAGGUAAAUGCAACAAAACAACAAUGACAAAAAUCUACAGAAGUAAAAAACCUAGUGAGUCUCUAUGCUUUGGUUAACUUUGUGCCUUUAGCCGUCACCUAUGUUUUGAAAGAUAGUGCUUCAGUGGAAACACACUAUCAUUCAUAACUUACAAGAUUACUUGGGUAUUUUAUUUCAAAGUAGCUUACUUGCACUAUCUUCUCAGCAUCAUGACCACAACCUUUUCACUGUUACUUUUUUUCCACUCAAAGCAAUUAAUUCCUCCUCUGAAAAAGGUAUUGCCACAAAGUUAGACCCUGUCUCUACAAAAAAAUUGUGAAUUGUAAACAAUAAAUUAGCUGGGCGUGGGGGUGUGCGCCUGUAGUACCAGCUACUCAGAAGGCUGAGAUGGGAGUAUUGCUUGAGCCUGGGAGGCCAAGGCUGCAGUGAGCUAUAAUUGUGCCACUGCACUCCAGUCUGGGUGAUAGAGCGAGACCCUAUCUCAAAAAAUAAAAAUUAAAAUGAAAAAGUAUUGCUUCUGAUAUAAUCCUAUGACAAUUUAGAAAUCAAACCCUAGCACAUUUUGUGGCCAUAAGCACACUGGAGAGAACAUAAAUGGAAUGAAACAGGCAAUGGUGGAAGCUGGAGGGAGGGAGAUGGUGACCUUAGAGUUGGGAAACCUGGGAGACACCCUGGCUCAGUUAGGGACCAUUGAUGCAGGGCCUGCUGUAUGCACUGGGUCGAGAGAAAGGCAGAAGCUUUGAAAACACAUGACUUUCAAGAACCAGGUUUUUUAAAUGUACUAAAAUUGUAGGAUCUAACUUUGUGUUCCAUUUACCACUUAUUUGUGGUGUGAUUUUCCCCAAGUCCCCUCCAAUCUCUGAGCUUCAGUGUCUUCAUGAAGAAAAUUAAGUUAACAAGGCUUGUACUGCUCUCCAUAAAUAAGCAUGGCUGAGAAAGCAGGAUAAAGAUGAACAGGAGGUAGAGGUGAAGCCUUAGCUUGUGGUUAUACAGCUCAGAUGAGACAGUCGCUGGGAAAGCCUUUCUCAUCUACAAAACUCACAUGAAAAGAAAUAGUUUAGAGGGAGGCUUUUGCAGGCAGAUGCUGGAAGAUCUGGAAAUUUCCUAAUGACCUGGACGGGCCUGGAGAUCAUCAUGGUCUUCCCCCGAUAACUUAAAAAAAAAAAAAA